Alligator sinensis (Chinese alligator) is the source of this 8553-nucleotide RNA transcript. It is a transcript of the gene named ring finger protein 144B, with no coding region annotated. NCBI's taxonomy places the organism in Eukaryota, Metazoa, Chordata, Crocodylia, Alligatoridae. The record is from RefSeq and is a predicted model, not a curated record. The transcript is spliced from 9 exons.
CUACUCCAUGCAAGCUGUGACGUGCUUUUUAAGAUAUAAUGGCAACAUGCUCUUAAUAGCAGGGAGGGGAUUAUUUAUCCGUGUGGCAAAAGGGCUGGGAGACAAGUCCUGUUACAGUCCUGAAGAGUGCAAAGCUGUCAGACACACAGAUAAAGGAAGAGAGUGUGUGUGAGAGAAAUCCGUUUCUGAUUUAGACUGUAAGCUACAGUGGUUGUGACAUGAAGCUUUGGAGCACUGAAGUGUGAGUGAAGCUAUUGAAAAGUCAAACAGCUGGGAGUGAACACUACCUUCCGUUCAAGAGUGGCCAGAAUAAGAGUAAGACAUUGAACGAAUGAGCUCUGCUGGUAAGAUCUGCAAUCACACCAUGACAGCCGGCGAGGCAGAAGCUGGGGAAUUAGUUCUGGAGCCCCUGGUCACUUGCAAGCUAUGUCUCUGUGAAUAUUCUCUUGAUAAGAUGACCACCCUUCAGGAAUGCACCUGCAUCUUUUGUACAGCGUGCCUAAAACAGUAUAUGGAGCUGGCAAUUCGAGAAGGCUGUGGGUCUCCUAUCACUUGUCCAGACAUGGUUUGCUUGAAUCAUGGGACCCUACAAGAAGCAGAGAUUGCCUGUUUGGUACCUGUUGAUCAGUUUCAGUUAUAUCAGCGACUGAAAUUUGAACGAGAAGUUCAUCUGGAUCCGAACAGAAUGUGGUGCCCUGAUGCUGACUGCCAGACUGUGUGCUAUGUUGAAUUGAAUGAUUUGGGACAAGCAGUGCUGGUAGAAUGCCAGGCAUGUCACCUGAAGUUCUGUUCAUCUUGCAAGGAAGCAUGGCACCCAGAAAGCUUGUGCCAAGAAAACCAACCCAUUGUAAUGCCAACUGAGCAUGGAGCCCUAAUCAGAACAGACACAGAGGCUCCAAUUAAACAGUGUCCAGUGUGCCGGAUCUAUAUUGAACGAAACGAAGGCUGUGCUCAAAUGAUGUGUAAGAACUGCAAGCAUACAUUUUGCUGGUACUGUCUACAGAACUUGGAUAAUGAUAUCUUCUUAAGACAUUAUGACAAAGGCCCCUGCAGAAAUAAACUGGGCCACUCCCGAGCCUCUGUUAUGUGGAACAGAACACAGGUUGUGGGCAUCCUCGUGGGUCUGGGCAUCAUAGCAUUGGUGACAUCUCCUUUGCUGCUUGUGGCAUCUCCAUGUAUUAUCUGCUGCAUCUGCAAAUCAUGCCGAGGCAAAAAGAAAAAGCACAACCCACCCACAACCUAAAACUCUGUGUGCGUCUUUGCAUCCAGCUAUAUAGUAUCUGUGUGAGUGAGAAAGCACAAAGGUUGCAUUUUGGUGCCAUCCCUACCAAAUAAUUUUCCCUCUUCUUGCCAACUUUUGGGAUAAGUGCCUCUACUUUACAGGCCACUAUAUCAUUUGCAAGUCACAGUGCAGGAAAAGACUAGGAAUUUGUGGUGUGUAUAUAUGGUUAUGUCAGAAAAAUGGUCAUAUAUGUUCCACCUUUGAACAUGAUAGAAGCUGUAAGAAAGAGAGAACUUCCUACAGUCUGAAUGUGUUGUUCCUGCAGUAUUGUUCUUCUGCCUUAGCAGAACCACUUACUCAACCAACUGAGGGAGCAUGUGUAAACAUAUAAGACUUCCUCUUAAAACUCUGCUAAUACAUCAAGAUUUUGAUUUAAAAAAAAUGAAAUUAAUUGCUGUUAUCUGUUGGUCUGUUCUCACCAUUUUGUUUAACAAAAUGUAUUUGAUAGUUUCCCUUUAUCCAGACGCAGUGAAGUUUCUUUCAUCUGUAUCUGAAAAUGUCUGUUGGAAGGGAUGCUUGAAAAAUUAUGAAGUGAAUAAGUUACCAAGAAUGAAAUUCAGUUUAUGUCACUACAGUCUUUUCCAUGUUUAUGGAUUUCCAGUAGAGAGUCUCAUUUGAGGGAAGCUCCGAGGACAAAGUAAUGGUAGACUCUCUCUAACUUAUCUGUAACUAUAACUGGUACUAUGAGAUUCUGUAUCAUUUGCCAGUUAAAUUUAAUGAGUUUUUCAUGAUUGUCAUGCUUUAAUUCCAUCUAAAAGACUGUCCAGUAGCUCUGUGGGACUGGGUGCAAUCUAUCCAUCCCCUACCCCACCUUUUUUUCCCUUGAAGUCAGUGUUGCCAAAUAAAUUGAAGCUAUUUCUUCUUAAGUAUAAUGGUUUUGUUUCUAUUUCAGUUACAAAUGGGAGUGUCUACAUGUUUAUUAAAUUUAGUAUCUCUAGGGUGAGGUAGUAAUAAAUGUGCAUUAGGCUCCCCUAAUGCGCAGGAGUGAAAGCACACACUUUUUUAGUGAUGCUUAAUGUGCAGUAGCCUUUUUUUUUACUGUGCAUUAGCUUAUUAGUGUGGUUUUUGACAUGACACAAUGUACAGUAAAAUAAGCUACUGUGCAUUAAAGUGCACAUGUAGACAUCCCCUCUGUAUACCAAAUUCAGUUGAACAGAAAUAACCGAGGAGAGAAUUUUGUUCAGUGCACAUGAACAGAUAUAAAGUCUGUGUAUUCCUCAGUUUAUUAUAAUAUAAUGUAAAAUCCUACCCUUGUUCAGCACUUUAAGAUGAUCUAAAAUGAAAGUCUCUAGUUAGUAGAGUCUGAUUUUUUUUUAAAUAUUUGAAAUCUGAAUAUUAGUUGAUAAAGUAUAUAUGUGUUUUAUAUAACUAAACAUUUUUGCUAAGAAACCAGUUUAUUGAAAUGAUAAAAUACCUUUUCACUUUUGGUAUGUUGUUCUACAAUCAAGCUACCUUCUUUCCAAAGCUGUGUCUAUAUGUAUAUGGCCAUACCUUAAAAGAAGUAUUUUACACAAUAUUUUAAGUGCUCAAGUCAAAAACCUUUUUAAAGUGCUUUUAAAACUGAAACUAUAAAUCAGACCAGAAUGGUUUUCUAUUAAUGGGGCAUAUUAAUUUCAUCAACCUAUCUUGUCUUUUCAAAGUAUGAUAUAUCUGAGCAUUUGCAGUAACUUGGGCCUUUAGGUUGUGUACAAAAGUGCUCUGGGCAUGAACCUCCGUGAACUUUCAAGGCUAAGGCUAGGAUGCAGGGGUCUCUGCAGCCCACAGUCAGAAAUUUGACCAGCAUACAAAAGUUAUUUAAAGCACUGUAGGUUGUUAAAGUGCUGUAAAAUACAGCACUUCAAAUUUUAAUAUCUCAUUUAACAAUGUUUAAUUUAAAGUGCUGUACCCAUUUUUUAAGUGCUGUAAAGCCAUGCACUUCUGUUAAGUCACAACAAUAUAGAGCUUGGAAUGGUGAAAAAGUAACUUCUCUACACAAUUUAGCAGCUUCUGUUUGGCAACUUAGGUGGCCAAAUCUUAAGUACAUAGUAACUUUGCAUGGCUGAAGUUACACAUGCGCUUAAGUGUAGGUAGCAUGAGGUCCAUACUACUUGAUGGAGCUAUUGCUUGAUUCUUCUGGGACACUGUACAGAAAACAGUGUCCACAGAGAGUCUGUUCUGGCAUUCCUAAGAAAUAAUUUAAAGAAUAAUCCAAUUAAAAAGGCUUUAUUUAUGAGACAAAUAAUAAAUUACAGGUGAUACAAGUCAUGCAAGCAAGAUAGCAGGGCCAAAAGGUCUAGAGACUCAGAGUAUUUAUGACCCCUUUGAAUUAAUGUCACUGAGGAUUCACACUUGUGUAGUUUCAAAAUCUCUCAAUGAGCACUUGCUAUUGAUACCACAUUUGAACUAUGCUAUAUUAAUUCCAUUCUUCUCUUAUUACUGUCUCUGUACCAUCUUUCACCAGUUUUACGGUGACUAGUAUGCAGGCUAGUUAGAGGUAUUAUGGCCUAUGAUAGGGAGGAUAAUUUAGAGGGAUAAGGCUGGGUUUCACUGAGCCCUUCUCAUUUCCAGUCUCAGCUGUAACAGUGAUGUACUAGUGACCUUAGUAAAGUCAGUCAGACCUUUGGAGCACUAUCAGACAUGAUGGUUUGUCAUGCGAUCGGCCACUGAAAGUGCUCUACAGCCAUGCGCUGACAGAAGUGCAUGGAUGCAAAGUGCUUUAAAAAUGCCCAUUCACAUUUUGGAUGGGUUUAGAUGAAGGUACUCCAAAGUGGAGCACCUUCAUUAACAUCUGUCAGCACAUGCCAGGAGCUGGGCUGAGCUAACGCAACCCAGCCCUGCUCUGGGUGCUGUCAGAAUGGGACGGGGAGAAGAGAAGGGAGGGAGUUCAGUCUCAGGGUUGUUCAGUCUGCACUGGAUGAUGGGGUGGGUAGACUGGAGCCCCCCGGAGGGGGGGAUCCAAUCCAUCCACACCCCCACUUUUAAAAUGAUUAAGUAAAAACAACAGUAGCUUUAAAAAUGCUGUACUAACAUUAACUACUGUUAUUCCUCAUGCCUUCCUGAGGUAAAUAACACAUGCACCUUUAAUUAAUUGUCAGUUACUACAUUUCAGUAUUGAUACUGUCUCUCCAAGAGUUACAAUAAAUACUUCAGAGAGGUACUUGUGCCAUAACCUAUAAAAUAAAUGCAUCAAAAUAAAGAGAAUAAUGCAUUUUUCUUCACAGUUGAUGUGGAAACAUGCAAAUGAGUAAGAUCAGUUCCACUUCUGUUUUCAGUGGAACUGGGCAGUGAAAACAGUAUCAACAUUUGUUUGCUGUUUUCCUGUGUACUAUAAUGGAUGAUUGUGCUGUAGUGCCUGCUACUUUUGAGUUCCAGUUUCUAUUGCAAUGACCCCUUUUAACUUGUUUUGUAAAUGGUAGGAAGCUAUAAAGUUUUGUUAUUGACUGCAUAAAUAAGGACUGCUCUGCUAGACAUAUCAGGGGAUAGAGCUUAUGAGCUAUAUGAGAGAAGCUUUUUUAUGUGGUGAAGGACUCUAGUCUUUGGGAAAUGUUGCUGAAAAAAUAAUGCACAUAUUUUAAUUAUUUCCAUCAAAAUAUAUUCCUUAGUGGAUCCAUAUUCCUUAGAUGCACAUUAUAAGGAGUCCAAAUAACUGUUUAUGUAUUUGGAGUCAGGGUACUUCUAUCCAGAAAAAAAGAUUUAGGAUCUCAUAAAUUGUAUAUUUAUGCAAUGGAGUAACAUUUUUUUGCAAAAAAUAUCAUAACAUACUCUAUCACAGCUGUCCAAUUGGAGGCCUACAGGCCACGUGUGGCUGGCAAGUGGUUAACAUGUGGUCUGCAAGCCCCUGCAGCCAUCUCUACCACUGGUGCAUAGUGCAGAAGGGCCAGGGAAGAAGUAAGACCUUGUGGCACUAGUAAUGCCUGUAUAGGGUGGGGCCAGGAGGCUUUGUGCUACCUGCACAGUGGAGUGGAGGGAUUCAGGGGGCCUGCCAACUUAGCAAAUGGCUUGUGCAGUGUGUGUCCCAGGGAUCACAGACCAGCACUGCAGGCAGUCCUUAGCCACGGCAAAUUUGCUCUAUCAAAUGCUUUAAGAGUGUAUCCUCCUGCACAUAAACAUUUCUCUCUAGACUGGUGUGAGGGCUGAUACUUCCAAGGACCACUGUAAAAUAAACUUACCAUUAAGAUUGUGAAAAACUUCACCAUGCAUUUUAUUUUUAAAUAAUUUGGGCUUCUGAUUAGCAAAGCAUUUUAGCAUGCACUUUGCUCAAUGGAAUGAAUGGAUGAAGUAAGGCCUCAAAAGAUUUAUUGGAUUUUGGCAUAGAGCUCAGUUGUCCAUGAUGAACAGAAAGUAAAGAUCAGGAUCUACAUACUUCCUACAACAUGGUGUUUACUUUAAUUGUGUUUGUCAUGGAAAAACUUUGUAAUUUUCUAUUGAAAUGUCAUUAGAGUACACUUUAUAGCAAGCCUGAAUGCUCAAGAUUAUGCUGAAACGUACUGUAAACAUGUUUAGGUACAAUGAAUAAAAAAAUAUGUAGUAUGUAAACAUGUUUUGUUAUACUCCCCAAAGUUACGUCACAUCGAGUAAACUUUACUGAUUUAUAUUGUUAGACAAAUUCACUUUUCCUUAGCAAUAAAUUUCUCUAUGACCACACAAUUGACUAUACAUGGUAAUAUUGGUUCAUGUAGUACCAACAAGUUUCAAACAGAAUUCACCACUAAUUUUAAUAGAAAAUUGUGCUUUAAAAACUAUGGCAUCAUUUCUCUCUUUAGUAUGCCUCUUCUAAUAAAAAUAAGCAGCAAGUGCAAAAGCCAAAGUUCACAGCAAAAUAUCGUAUCCCAUAACUUUGAAGUCUGUUGUUUGAUACCUGUCCGUUUGCUUUUAAAAGCAAAACUGAUUCAAUUCUUUAAAAAUAGUUGUUAAAGCAUGUUCUUUUUAAAGGAAUACAUUGCAAAAUGAACAAAGCAGUUGUUAGCAUCAUAAACACCAAGAGUGACAUUUAUACUGAGAUGUUGUUGUUGCUGAGAUGCCAGACAGUACUAUGUAUUUUUAAUGAUUUUAUUUUCAAAAGUGUAAUUAAAUGUAAACAUCCAAAUAUAGCAAGAAGUUGCAGUUCCACCCAAUAGCACAAAUUGGCAUCAGUCAUGGGCCCCAAUCCUGGAAAAACUUAGGCUUGUUCUAAGUUUAACACUUUGUGUGUAGUACCAGAAACAUCAGCUAGGCUACUCACAGUGCAGGAAGUUAAUAAUGUGCAUAAUUCUUUGCAGGACUGAGGGACAUAAAACAUGAUACCCUAUUUUCAUAGGCACUGUGAUUUAAACUAAUGUAUCAGUUGAAAAGGACAACAAAUGGGGAACAUUACUGUAGCUGAUAAGUAGUGUGGUAAAGAGAAGUAGUUCUGUUUCAGACCUAUCUUCAGAGUGCCAACACUUCUGGUUUGGGAGGAAGUAAGAGGGGUAUUAGCUUUUUUUGUUGGCUUUCUGCCAAGGGGUGAAAUCUAUCUUUACAAUGUGCUGCAACUCUGUUACCUGUUUAGGCUUAUUUUAUUUGUUUGUUUCCUGUUGAUAUACUUUCUUCACCAUUCUUAACCAGGUCAAGGGUAAAAAGACUGAUCUUUGUAAGAUUUGUUAAACUAUUUUUGUGUUUUUUAAAAAAGAAGGUUGACAUGUAUAAAGAAAUAAGUGCUUUUGUACAUUUUGUUUUAUGAUUCAGCAUUUAAAAAUUUACAAAUGCAAUUUUGGCACUGUGCACAUACUCCUAUAGUAUAUAUUUAUUUUCUGCCUCUGAGGUUACUUUAUUUUUUUCCUUUCUGAUGCCAUAAAAUGCAAUAUGUGCGACAUUAAAAAAUGUAGUGUGUAGAUGUUUGUCUCACUUUGCUUUAAUUCUCAAAUAACUGAUUCUAUGGACAUUUGGGAGAGUUUUUAAUGGAAAUAAUUUAAACACAUCCACAGUAUUUAAUGAGCAUGUGGGGGGGAGGGGUGUAGAUAAGACAAAGGAUGAAAGAAGUGAGAUCCCAUGUAAUUUCUGAAUUUCAGCUGGUUUCUUUAAAAGAAAAUAAAAAGGUGCAUAUUGCCAUAGGGACUCUUUGCUGGACCCCAGAACAACCCUAAGGCUUUGAGAUUGCAAACUAUACACACAGAGAAGGACCCAAUGAGACCCAGCCCUUGUAUGCUGCUGCAGUGGCAUACAAAAUCCAGGACUAUGAUGCACACGUUCUCUGUUCAGAAGAGUUUAGCAUUGCUACACAUGGCCCCCUCAUAGCUACUCAAACCACUGAAAGAAGUUAAUUUAAAACUAAAUGGGAUCUGAUCCCUAUCCCAACAAUUGCACAUCCUGCCAUGCCAUAUGUUCAUGGGCAGGACAUGCAAUUUUGGAAUGGGUAUCAGAUUCUAAUUGUGCCCUACUGGUCAGUGAAGGGGGAGCCUGGGCUCAUUAUCUUGGGCUCCCCUUGUACCAGGAAGUUGAAAGCUGGGUGCCCAACAAUUAACUGAUUAUCUGUCAGUUCCAGGACUAUACCAGGGCGCAAGCCAACUCCAGCAUGAUCCCCAGAGCUGGCUGACAAUUAACUUAUCAGAUGGCUUGGGAGUGCAAUGGAGCUUGAACUAGCCCCAUUGUGUUCCUUGGAGCCAGCCAACAAUCAGACAAUUGCUGGCUGGAUCAGGACCACACCAGGGUUCCAGGUCCUAUUCAAGACAAAGUGUAGUCCUGGAGCCAGCUGAUCAUCAGUGGGCAGGAACUGCAUGAGGCAUAGUUGGAAACCCUGGUCCUAACCCUGACACGUGUUCAAUUUAAGGUGUGAUAGAAACCAGCCACAAAAAUAUUGCACAUUUUUUGUGUAACCUUUUUUGUGGCUGGUUUCCUUCUUUAUGGUGUCAUUACUUGCCUGAACACAUGGCCAGUUACUGUUUAAGAUGUGGUUAAUGGACUAAUUGCAUUUUAAAUGUAAUGCCUGCUGGGGCCUCAAUGCAGUGGAGUAUGCAUUUGCAUUCAACCAUGGGAUGAUUUAGUUGGGGACAAUCCUGCCUUGAGCAAGGGGCUAGACUAGAUGACCUUGUGUGGUCCCUUCCAGCCCUACUUUCUAUUAUCCUAUGUGAUCACAGGUUUAUGUGACUUUUUAAUGCUGGCCUUACACUGCACAACCAGAUACCCUGAAGUGCUCUUACAUUAAAUACAUUUAUGAACAAGUAUCAAGUAGUCGAACAUACACACAUUGGCUUCUUUGUGUCCAUCUCUGUAGCUAUCCAUUGCUAUCCCAACAUUCAAACAUAGGAUUUUAUCAUAUUUGCUGUUCAUCUUGGUGA